RNAcentral lists this unclassified non-coding RNA (163 nucleotides) under soil metagenome. RNAcentral's name for it is "partial internal transcribed spacer 1". The record is from RNAcentral.
CACAAAUAUGAAGGCGGGCUGGAACCUCUCGGGGUUACAGCCUUGCUGAAUUAUUCACCCUUGUCUUUUGCGUACUUCUUGUUUCCUUGGUGGGUCGACCACCACUAGGACAAACAUAAACCUUUUGUAAUUGCAAUCAGCGUCAGUAACAAAUUAAUAAUUA